RNAcentral lists this ribosomal RNA (603 nucleotides) under uncultured fungus. Its description in RNAcentral is "eukaryotic LSU rRNA". It matches the Rfam family "Eukaryotic large subunit ribosomal RNA", at positions 23 to 641 of the family's 3401-position model. Lineage: Eukaryota; Fungi. The record is from RNAcentral.
ACCCGCUGAACUUAAGCAUAUCAAUAAGCGGAGGAAAAGAAACCAACAGGGAUUGCCCUAGUAACGGCGAGUGAAGCGGCAACAGCUCAAAUUUGAAAUCUGGCGUCUUUGGCGUCCGAGUUGUAAUUUGCAGAGGGCGCUUUGGCAUUGGCAGCGGUCCAAGUUCCUUGGAACAGGACGUCACAGAGGGUGAGAAUCCCGUACGUGGUCGCUAGCCUUUACCGUGUAAAGCCCCUUCGACGAGUCGAGUUGUUUGGGAAUGCAGCUCUAAAUGGGAGGUAAAUUUCUUCUAAAGCUAAAUACUGGCCAGAGACCGAUAGCGCACAAGUAGAGUGAUCGAAAGAUGAAAAGCACUUUGGAAAGAGAGUUAAAAAGCACGUGAAAUUGUUGAAAGGGAAGCGCUUGCAGCCAGACUUGCCUGUAGUUGCUCAUCCGGGUUUUUACCCGGUGCACUCUUCUAUAGGCAGGCCAGCAUCAGUUUGGGCGGUUGGAUAAAGGUCUCUGUCAUGUAUCUUCCUUCGGGAUGACCUUAUAGGGGAGGCGUAAUGCGGCCAGCCCGGACUGAGGUCCGCGCAUCUGCUAGGAUGCUGGCGUAAUGGCUGU